RNAcentral lists this ribosomal RNA (253 nucleotides) under uncultured bacterium. RNAcentral describes it as "partial 16S ribosomal RNA". It matches the Rfam family "Bacterial small subunit ribosomal RNA", at positions 524 to 776 of the family's 1533-position model. The record is from RNAcentral.
UACAGAGGUGGCAAGCGUUGUUCGGAAUUACUGGGCGUAAAGGGCGAGUAGGCGGCCUUCUAAGUCAGACGUGAAAUCCCCCGGCUUAACCUGGGAACUGCGUCGGAUACUGGAUGGCUUGAAUUCGGGAGAGGGAUGCAGAAUUCCAGGUGUAGCGGUGAAAUGCGUAGAUAUCUGGAGGAACACCGAUGGCGAAGGCAGGUCUCUGGGCUGACACUGACGCUCAUGCACGAAAGCGUGGGGAGCAAACAGG